Molecule: transfer RNA, 83 nt
Filed under: Patescibacteria group bacterium
Lineage: Bacteria
Description: tRNA-Tyr
Rfam family: tRNA
About the family: Transfer RNA (tRNA) molecules are approximately 80 nucleotides in length. Their secondary structure includes four short double-helical elements and three loops (D, anti-codon, and T loops).
Source: RNAcentral
GGGUCGGUACCAAAGCGGUCAACUGGAGCAGACUGUAAAUCUGUUGGCUCACGCCUUCGUAGGUUCGAAUCCUACCCGGCCCA